Molecule: ribosomal RNA, 460 nt
Filed under: uncultured bacterium
Lineage: Bacteria
Description: partial 16S ribosomal RNA
Rfam family: Bacterial small subunit ribosomal RNA
Source: RNAcentral
CCUACGGGAGGCUGCAGUGAGGAAUAUUGGUCAAUGGGCGCGAGCCUGAACCAGCCAAGUCGCGUGAGGGAAGACGGUCCUAUGGAUUGUAAACCUCUUUUGUCGGGGAGCAAAAGACGCCACGCGUGGCGUUCCGAGAGUACCCGAAGAAAAAGCAUCGGCUAACUCCGUGCCAGCAGCCGCGGUAAUACGGAGGGGGCGAGCGUUAUCCGGAAUUACUGGGUGUAAAGGGAGCGUAGACGGCGAGGUAAGCCUGCAGUGGAAGCCCGCGGCCCAACCGUGGAAAUGCGUUUGGAACUGUUUGGCUGGAGGAUGGUAGGGGUAAGCGGAAGUCCGGGUGUAGCGGUGAAAGGCGUAGAUAUCAGGAGGAACACCGGUGGCGAAGGCGGCUUACUGGACCAUAACUGACGUUGAGGCUCGAAAGCGUGGGGAGCGAACAGGAUUAGAUACCCCAGUAGUC